RNAcentral lists this ribosomal RNA (380 nucleotides) under uncultured eukaryote. Its description in RNAcentral is "partial 18S ribosomal RNA". It matches the Rfam family "Eukaryotic small subunit ribosomal RNA", at positions 592 to 976 of the family's 1831-position model. The record is from RNAcentral.
CAAUAGCGUAUAUUAAAGUUGUUGCGGUUAAAAAGCUCGUAGUUGGAUUUCUGCUGAGAACGACCGGUCCGCCCAUUGGGUGUGUAUCUGGCUCUUUCUUGGCAUCUUCUUGGUGAACGUUACUGCACUUGACUGUGUGGAGCGCUACCCAGGACUUUUACUUUGAGGAAAUUAGAGUGUUUCAAGCAGGCAUACGCCUUGAAUACGUUAGCAUGGAAUAAUAAGAUAGGACCUCGGUUCUAUUUUGUUGGUUUCUAGAGCUGAGGUAAUGAUUAAUAGGGAUAGUUGGGGGCAUUCGUAUUUAACUGUCAGAGGUGAAAUUCCUGGAUUUGUUAAAGACGGACUACUGCGAAAGCAUUUGCCAAGGAUGUUUUCAUUGA